Molecule: ribosomal RNA, 1185 nt
Filed under: Xylonora corona
Lineage: Eukaryota; Metazoa; Mollusca; Bivalvia; Myida; Xylophagaidae
Description: 16S ribosomal RNA
Rfam family: Bacterial large subunit ribosomal RNA
Source: RNAcentral
UUAUUGUUUUUUUCUUGAAUAAAUCAUUAUUUGUGCGUAUCGUGAGAGAGCUACUAAAGUCGGAUUUUGAGAGAGUUUAAAAGAAAAAGAAAAAUCAGUUUUAUCUUGCUACUUUUUGUAUCAUGGCGUAUAGAGGAGAGAGUUAGUUAACAUAUCCUGAAAGUCUUAGAGCUACCCCUCCUACUACUGUUUUGUUUCAAAAAAGGUCUAAAGGGAGGGGUAGAGGUGAAAUGUUUGUCGAUAAGGCUGAUAGCUGGUUAGGGGGGAAACAUAUUUAAGUAUGGCUUGCAAAGUGUUGGGAGGGGGCGAUUUCAUCGUCUUCUGCUUUUUGUAAAGUAAGUCUCUUAGGGUUAAUCUUAAGAGAAGUUUUGUCAUAACAAAAAAUGUCGUAGGGUUAAAAUUUCCCAUCUGUUACGUUUUUUUAAAGUUAUUUAGGUUUAGAGUGUAUUCAGUACCCCCUCUUCAGAGGUAGUUUUUUUUUGAAGAUUAGUAUACGAUUAGUAGGGGGAAAUUUAAAAAAGAUGACGCGUAAGGUUUUUAAGCGAGUGUUGGAUUUUUCAUAGAGGUUGGCCUAAGGAACUCGGCAAAUAUGCCCCUCGCCUGUUUAUUAAAAACAUGGCUUUCAGUAACUUUAAAGAUUGAAAGUCGGACCUGCCCGGUGUAACAUAAAUAAACGGCUGCUGCUUGCGGUACUAAGGUAGCGCAGUCACUUGUCCCUUAAUUGGGGAAUGGUAUGAAUGGUUUGACGAGGGGGCGACUGUCUCAGGUCAAUUACCCAAAAUUUUUUUUUAAGUGAAAAAGCUUAAGUAAUGUUAAAAGACGAGAAGACCCCGUCGAGCUUGCAAAGGCCCUUAAUUUUUUGAGGGGUACAUUUUUGUUGGGGAAACAGGGAGAAGCAUUAACUCUCCUUUUCUGUCAAGUAGAUCCUUUUUUAAAGAAAAAAGAAAAAGCUACCGCGGGGAUAACAGCGUAAUUUUUUUUAAGAGUUCUAAUCAAAAAAAAAGAUUGCGACCUCGAUGUUGAAUUAAAGUGUAAUCCAGGUGCAGGCGCUUGGAUGGUAGGCCUGUUCGUCCUUUAAAACUUUACAUGAUUUGAGUUUAAACCGGCGUGAGCUAGGUUGGUUUCUAUCUUUAUGUUUACCCCCUAUGUACGAAAGGACCAGGGAGUUGGUAUUAAUCCGUAGUU